GAGGAGAGAAAAGACCUGAACAGAAGCCUGUCUGCUCCCAGGCACUCUGUCCCUUGGCCAACUACCCUAGAGACAGGUCCUGAAGCGGGUCACCGCCCACAGAAGCAUCCGCAGCACUCAGCUGGGCCUACGCACGACCACGACGGAAACUUCUGGUCAAACGGAUCACCAUAGCAACUUUCAGUAGACAUCCAGCAUGCAAAUGAGACGGUGGAAAAGGCCGCUUUCUCCAAAGCCCCAGACCGUCCUCCUCGGAACCUGCCGGGGAUUGAAUUCUAGACCCUUUGAAGGUUUCACUCAGAGUCUGUGUCAAGGCUGGUCGGCACCUGGCUAGGUCUGCUGAUGUCUUCAGAUGCUGAGUGAUCUCCACCAGCGAAUGUUCCAGAAGCUUCUGCGGACCCCUUGAGGAUGGGGCUCCUGUGUAGAAUACGGCCCCUUGGCUGCGGUGAGCUCUGCCUUCAUACUCGGCGCCUGACUGCCCACCCAUCCUCACCAUCCGGCCCAGGCAUUGAAUGUCCUGACGGAAGAUGAGAAAUAGUCUCAGUCGUGCCUCCUCUUAAACCCCUCCCCGCAGAGUUACCCUCUGCAGAUGAACACGCAGAGCCAGUUUUCUCACUGUGCCUUUUUCAUUAAUAAAGUAUAUGAUCCAGGGACUUGCCUGGUGGCCCAGUGCCUAAGACUCUGCGCUCCCAACGCAGGGGGCCCCGGGUUCGGUUCCUGCUCGGGGAGCCAGAUCCCGCGUGCCGAGACUAAGAGGUCACACACCGC
Molecule: long non-coding RNA, 768 nt
Organism: Bos taurus (domestic cattle)
Lineage: Eukaryota; Metazoa; Chordata; Mammalia; Artiodactyla; Bovidae
Source: Ensembl